RNAcentral lists this ribosomal RNA (254 nucleotides) under uncultured bacterium. RNAcentral describes it as "partial 16S ribosomal RNA". It matches the Rfam family "Bacterial small subunit ribosomal RNA", at positions 524 to 776 of the family's 1533-position model. The record is from RNAcentral.
UACGUAGGGGGCAAGCGUUAUCCGGAUUUACUGGGUGUAAAGGGAGCGCAGGUGGCAAGGCAAGCCAGAAGUGAAAACCCGGGGCUUAACCCCGCGGAUUGCUUUUGGAACUGUCUGGCUGGAGUGCAGGAGGGGCAGGCGGAAUUCCUGGUGUAGCGGUGAAAUGCGUAGAUAUCAGGAGGAACACCGGUGGCGAAGGCGGCCUGCUGGACUGUAACUGACACUGAGGCUCGAAAGCGUGGGGAGUAAACAGG